AAGACCUUGCACUUUUGGAGCGGCCGAUGCCUGAUUAGCUAGUUGGUGGGGUAAAGGCCUACCAAGGCUUCGAUCAGUAGUCGGUCUGAGAGGACGACCAGCCACACUGGGACUGAGACACGGCCCAGACUCCUACGGGAGGCAGCAGUGGGGAAUUUUGGACAAUGGGCGCAAGCCUGAUCCAGCAAUGCCGCGUGCAGGAAGAAGGCCUUCGGGUUGUAAACUGCUUUUGUACGGAACGAAACGGUCUGAGUUAAUACCGGGCUAAUGACGGUACCGUAAGAAUAAGCACCGGCUAACUACGUGCCAGCAGCCGCGGUAAUACGUAGGGUGCGAGCGUUAAUCGGAAUUACUGGGCGUAAAGGGUGCGCAGGCGGUUUUGUAAGUCAGAUGUGAAAUCCCCGGGCUUAACCUGGGAACU
This 421-nucleotide ribosomal RNA is filed under the name uncultured bacterium. RNAcentral's name for it is "bacterial SSU rRNA". It matches the Rfam family "Bacterial small subunit ribosomal RNA", at positions 207 to 622 of the family's 1533-position model. The record is from RNAcentral.